Molecule: RNA transcript, 1648 nt
Organism: Camellia sinensis
Lineage: Eukaryota; Viridiplantae; Streptophyta; Magnoliopsida; Ericales; Theaceae
Source: RefSeq, a predicted model, not a curated record
GUGCUGUCAUCAUCUUUGGACACCCCUUCUUCUUCUAGGGCUUCAUCUUCGAAGAAAAAGAACGACUAGUUCUUCGUUGAGUACCAGAGCUUCUUAGACGAUGAUGGCUCUACUCCCUUGGGAGAACACAUCAAACCCGAUUUCAUUAGGCCUUUGCCUCAUCCUUCAGAGUCUAACCUUGUUCUUUCCUUCGAAAUAUACAAUGUCGUCGAUGCGUCUUAAUGUGAUGGAUGGUGGAUUGGUGUCAUCACCAUAGUUCUCAACAAUUCCAAGUUCGUAGUCACCUUCUAGAACCGUCCCGACAAGAUCGAGUUUGGGUUUUCGGAGUUGCAAGUUCACCAGGAGUGGAUCGACAGCAAAUGGGUUUGACCCAAAAAGCAGUUGCUGCAUAUUCAAAUGGCCAUGUGAAAGUGUAUGGGUUCCUAGAUCCACUGGAACUAGAUACUUGAGGUUCACUACUUCUGGCCUCUGGAUAGCAUUAGAAUAAAAGAGUUUGAUAAUGUGUGGAAUGAGGUUACAAGACAAUCUAGAGGAAGGCUCACCUUUGAUACUAUUCCUGUCAUGUUUGGAAGGAGUAUGAGGAGACAAGUGAAGAACCUGAGCAAGCUGCCCCUGAAGAAAGUGAACAACAAGAAGUUGAAGAAGCUGAAGAUAAACAAACACUAGUAGAUACACAACAAGAGCCUGAGCCUGAGCCUGAGCCUGAGCCUGAGGAGGAGGAAGUUCCACCAUUCAUAUCAACUGACCAAACUAAGGAUCUGUUAGGUUUAAAUGAAAUAAAUCCUAAAGCUGCCUAACUAGAAGAAAGUGAUGCAUUUGCACUUGCCAUAGUUCCACCUGGUAAUAAUCUGGUAUCAAGCAGUUGGGAUUUGAGUGCAAUUGGAAGGUUUUGUUCAUGAUAGAUGCUACAAUCCCUGAAACCUUUAGAAGGAUAGGGUCAAGUAUUCAUUAACUGAACUUUUUUAUGCAUAAUCUUUGGAUAACCUUGCAAGGUCCAUUCUGCAGCUCGAGUUAUUUUGUUAAGUUGUUAGUAUGGAAAUCUUCUCUUGUUUCAAUUUGGUGCGAGUGUGGUUUGUUUUACCUUAAUGCUCUUUCUUAAUUUUGAUGGCAUAUUGCUUCUUGUAUUUAAUUGGUAGAAAGUUGCAGAGAAGUAACAACUACUGAAGAAAAGCUUAGGAGAUGGAGACUUCGGUGGCCUCAAGGAGUUGCAUAAGACAGUUUUAGAGCUUUCUGCACCAUCCCAACAAGAAAUGCAACAGGGUUAGUUACUCCAACUAUUGCCGCGGGUUUAGGUGCCUUAACACAUACAUCGGGCACCCUCGUCCUUGUGAUAGGAGCAAGUAGAUUUGCUACAGCUGGAGCUGCAACUACUAUAAGAACUGCUGUCGGUAGUUUUAGAUAAUCUCUUAAUAGUUGUCGAUAUGUUUAAAAAGUUAGAUAUUCAUAGUUUUGGAUGGUUUAAACUUUUUGUACAAUUUAGAACUUAAGGAUAUAAUUUUUGAAUGAUUGGAAUGUAUAGAUAAUUGUUGGAUGUUUAUAAUUUAUGGAUAUAAUUUCUUUUUGAUGUUUCAAACAAUAUUUUGGUGGUUGAUUGAUGUUUUGUGAUGCUUGUUUGUAAUAUUUGUUGGAUUGUACAAAAUUGGCCAAA